Molecule: ribosomal RNA, 2308 nt
Filed under: Listeria monocytogenes
Lineage: Bacteria; Bacillati; Bacillota; Bacilli; Caryophanales; Listeriaceae
Description: partial 23S ribosomal RNA
Rfam family: Bacterial large subunit ribosomal RNA
Source: RNAcentral
CGAGUUACGAUUUGUUGCAAGGUUAAGCGGAAAAAGCGGAGCCGUAGCGAAAGCGAGUCUGAAUAGGGCGCAUAAGUAACAGGUCGUAGACCCGAAACCAGGUGAUCUACCCAUGUCCAGGAUGAAGGUAAGGUAAUACUUACUGGAGGUCCGAACCCACGCACGUUGAAAAGUGCGGGGAUGAGGUGUGGGUAGCGGAGAAAUUCCAAUCGAACUUGGAGAUAGCUGGUUCUCUCCGAAAUAGCUUUAGGGCUAGCCUCGAGGUAAAGAGUCAUGGAGGUAGAGCACUGUUUGGACUAGGGGCCCUUCUCGGGUUACCGAAUUCAGAUAAACUCCGAAUGCCAUGUACUUAUACUCGGGAGUCAGACUGCGAGUGAUAAGAUCCGUAGUCGAAAGGGAAACAGCCCAGACCACCAGUUAAGGUCCCCAAAUAUAUGUUAAGUGGAAAAGGAUGUGGGGUUGCUUAGACAACCAGGAUGUUGGCUUAGAAGCAGCCACCAUUGAAAGAGUGCGUAAUAGCUCACUGGUCGAGUGACCCCGCGCCGAAAAUGUACCGGGGCUAAACAUAUUACCGAAACUGUGGAUGAACCUCUUUAGAGGUUCGUGGUAGGAGAGCGUUCUAAGGGCGGUGAAGUCAGACCGGAAGGACUGGUGGAGCGCUUAGAAGUGAGAAUGCCGGUAUGAGUAGCGAAAGAAGGGUGAGAAUCCCUUCCACCGAAUAUCUAAGGUUUCCUGAGGAAGGCUCGUCCGCUCAGGGUUAGUCGGGACCUAAGCCGAGGCCGAUAGGCGUAGGCGAUGGACAACAGGUAGAGAUUCCUGUACCAGUGCUAAUUGUUUAACCGAUGGGGUGACACAGAAGGAUAGGGAAUCGCACGAAUGGAAAUGUGCGUCCAAGCAGUGAGUGUGAGAAGUAGGCAAAUCCGCUUCUCGCGAAGCAUGAGCUGUGAUGGGGAAGGAAAUUAAGUACGGAAGUUCCUGAUUUCACGCUGUCAAGAAAAGCCUCUAGGAAGAGUAGUACUGCCCGUACCGCAAACCGACACAGGUAGAUGAGGAGAGAAUCCUAAGGUGAGCGAGAGAACUCUCGUUAAGGAACUCGGCAAAAUGACCCCGUAACUUCGGGAGAAGGGGUGCUCUAUUAGGGUGCAAGCCCGAGAGAGCCGCAGUGAAUAGGCCCAGGCGACUGUUUAGCAAAAACACAGGUCUCUGCAAAACCGUAAGGUGACGUAUAGGGGCUGACGCCUGCCCGGUGCUGGAAGGUUAAGAGGAGUGCUUAGCUUCGGCGAAGGUACGAAUUGAAGCCCCAGUAAACGGCGGCCGUAACUAUAACGGUCCUAAGGUAGCGAAAUUCCUUGUCGGGUAAGUUCCGACCCGCACGAAAGGCGCAACGAUCUGGGCACUGUCUCAACGAGAGACUCGGUGAAAUUAUAGUACCUGUGAAGAUGCAGGUUACCCGCGACAGGACGGAAAGACCCCGUGGAGCUUUACUGCAACCUGAUAUGGAAUGUUUGUACCGCUUGUACAGGAUAGGUAGGAGCCGAAGAGACGUGUGCGCUAGCAUACGAGGAGGCAAUGGUGGGAUACUACCCUGGCUGUAUGACCAUUCUAACCCGCCACGCUUAGCGCGUGGGGAGACAGUGUCAGGUGGGCAGUUUGACUGGGGCGGUCGCCUCCUAAAGAGUAACGGAGGCGCCCAAAGGUUCCCUCAGAAUGGAUGGAAAUCAUUCGCAGAGUGUAAAGGCACAAGGGAGCUUGACUGCGAGACUGACAAGUCGAGCAGGGACGAAAGUCGGGCUUAGUGAUCCGGUGGUUCCGCAUGGAAGGGCCAUCGCUCAACGGAUAAAAGCUACCCCGGGGAUAACAGGCUUAUCUCCCCCAAGAGUCCACAUCGACGGGGAGGUUUGGCACCUCGAUGUCGGCUCGUCGCAUCCUGGGGCUGUAGUCGGUCCCAAGGGUUGGGCUGUUCGCCCAUUAAAGCGGCACGCGAGCUGGGUUCAGAACGUCGUGAGACAGUUCGGUCCCUAUCCGUCGCGGGCGCAGGAAAUUUGAGAGGAGCUGUCCUUAGUACGAGAGGACCGGGAUGGACACACCGCUGGUGUACCAGUUGUUCCGCCAGGAGCAUCGCUGGGUAGCUAUGUGUGGCAGGGAUAAACGCUGAAAGCAUCUAAGCGUGAAGCCCCCCUCAAGAUGAGAUUUCCCAUUUCUUCGGAAAGUAAGAUCCCUGAAAGAUGAUCAGGUAGAUAGGUUUGGAGUGGAAGUGUAGCGAUACAUGGAGCGGACAAAUACUAAUCGAUCGAGGACUUAACCAAAA